GAUGAACGCUGGCGGCGUGCUUAACACAUGCAAGUCGAACGAUGAUCCCUAGCUUGCUGGGGGGAUUAGUGGCGAACGGGUGAGUAACACGUGAGUAACCUGCCCUUGACUCUGGGAUAAGCCUGGGAAACUGGGUCUAAUACUGGAUAUGACUGACUAUCGCAUGGUGGUUGGUGGAAAGCUUUUGUGGUUUUGGAUGGACUCGCGGCCUAUCAGCUUGUUGGUGGGGUAAUGGCCUACCAAGGCGACGACGGGUAGCCGGCCUGAGAGGGUGGACGGCCACACUGGGACUGAGACACGGCCCAGACUCCUACGGGAGGCAGCAGUGGGGAAUAUUGCACAAUGGGCGCAAGCCUGAUGCAGCGACGCCGCGUGAGGGAUGAAGGCCUUCGGGUUGUAAACCUCUUUCAGUAGGGAAGAAGCGAAAGUGACGGUACCUGCAGAAGAAGCGCCGGCUAACUACGUGCCAGCAGCCGCGGUAAUACGUAGGGCGCAAGCGUUAUCCGGAAUUAUUGGGCGUAAAGAGCUCGUAGGCGGUUUGUCGCGUCUGCCGUGAAAGUCCGGGGCUUAACUCCGGAUCUGCGGUGGGUACGGGCAGACUUGAGUGAUGUAGGGGAGACUGGAAUUCCUGGUGUAGCGGUGAAAUGCGCAGAUAUCAGGAG
Molecule: ribosomal RNA, 662 nt
Filed under: Arthrobacter sp. C-14
Lineage: Bacteria; Bacillati; Actinomycetota; Actinomycetes; Micrococcales; Micrococcaceae
Description: bacterial SSU rRNA
Rfam family: Bacterial small subunit ribosomal RNA
Source: RNAcentral